CUCAGGAACUAGUGAACUUCUGACCCCAGA
RNAcentral lists this non-coding RNA (30 nucleotides) under Mus musculus (house mouse). Lineage: Eukaryota; Metazoa; Chordata; Mammalia; Rodentia; Muridae. The record is from RNAcentral.